Long non-coding RNA from Apis cerana (Asiatic honeybee), 834 nucleotides. RefSeq lists it as uncharacterized. The record is from RefSeq and is a predicted model, not a curated record. NCBI's taxonomy places the organism in Eukaryota, Metazoa, Arthropoda, Insecta, Hymenoptera, Apidae.
CGCCCUCUUUCUUUACCGGGCUUUGAAAUUGUUGCAGUGGCAGAUUUUCGACAUUUCGCGUACCUUUCAUUCAAAAUCAUGCAAAUGGGACGAGAUUAUCCUGGUUAAUGUAACCGCGAAUUGGAUGAUGGAACUGUAGGGUGAGUACCAUUAUUUAUUAAGUCUGCUUAAGUAGAUCUAAUAUCGAAGAAACGUGAUAUUCGUGAUAAUCAAUGUUUGGUUUACUCGUUAAUUAAAAUUGAUUAUGAAACAGUGCUAAUUAUUCACGAUAAUUGCUUUUAUACCGUCUGAAAGGAAAUGAAAUGAAAUGAAAUGAAACUCGAUAUUGAUAAUAUUUACUAAAAGUAAUUUAUAAAGAUGAAGUAAAUUCAUAAUUCAUAAUUAAAAAAGAAAAAUUUUAUUUCAAUAUUUUAUUUAAAAUUACUUAUUCAAACGAAUCUUGUAUCAUUUUAAAUCAAAUUUGAAUAUUUUUUAUAUUAUUUUUAUUUAGAAUUUAAUAGAAUUUAAUAGUUUAAUUUUAUUAAUCAGGAUUACAAUAUUUUGUUUUCAAUCUUAACUCAAAGUUUUAACCGGAAGAAUUAUUUUAAACCUUUUCCGCGUUUAAAAUUUUUAAUUAACUAACUUUGCACCAUAUAAACCACUUCCAGUUAAUCCAUAAUAUUAUCUUGAACUAUUAUAACAAUCUUCAAUAUGCGCCUCAACUUUGAUCACUAUAGUUAUCCAAGCUUCGACCAUUUACACCCUCCAGAUAAUUUCGAAACAACUAUUCGCAAUAACAUUGCUCUUUUAAGAUUGCUCUUUUAAAGUAAAAAAAAAAAAAAAAAAAAAAAAAAA